AUGGACUUCACCAAGCACUUCAUUGCGGUGCCGACGGAGUUCAAGCUGAGGAACAACACUGACUGCUCUUGGAGGGUGACGGUGAAGAUAAUGAACGGCAAGGUGACCCUGCAGGGUUGGGCCACCUACGCCGCCGUUCAUCAGAUCAAGAUCGGCUACAUGGUGACGUUCAAGCUCGUGACUCCCGACACCCUCAAGGUCAUCAUCUUCGACGACGAAGGCACUGAGGUGGUCAACAAGUGCGGGAAGCACGACGAAGCCUUCGCCGCCAGGGACUAG
This 279-nucleotide ribosomal RNA is filed under the name Triticum aestivum (bread wheat). RNAcentral's name for it is "partial small subunit ribosomal RNA". Lineage: Eukaryota; Viridiplantae; Streptophyta; Magnoliopsida; Poales; Poaceae. The record is from RNAcentral.